GCCCUUGUGGCGCAGGGGUAGCGCACUCCCUUGGUAAGGGAGAGGCCACGAGUUCAAAUCUCGUCAAGGGCA
This is a non-coding RNA of Brachyspira sp. CAG:484, 72 nucleotides long. Lineage: Bacteria; Pseudomonadati; Spirochaetota; Spirochaetia; Brachyspirales; Brachyspiraceae. The record is from Rfam.